Molecule: long non-coding RNA, 328 nt
Organism: Cyprinus carpio (common carp)
Lineage: Eukaryota; Metazoa; Chordata; Actinopteri; Cypriniformes; Cyprinidae
Source: RefSeq, a predicted model, not a curated record
GCCAAAUACAGCAAAAUCCAACAAUUUGGCGAGCCAGCCAGGAGAGACUGACAAGAAGAGAACUCACCAACUGCAACAAAAAGUGAACAGAGUUUUGGAGAUUCUACAGUUUUUGUGUUGAAGAUCAAUAGACUGCGUCUGUGGACAUAAGUUAUUUGAAUCAACUUGAUCCUGUCUCAAAGAUUCUAAUUUGGUGUCCCAGCGUUUCAGAGGAUGAACAAAGACAUCCAACACUUGGACCAAACUGCACUGGCCACCUAGAUGAACAUGCCUGAACAUCCACAGAACACAACAACAUCCGCCACUUCCACAAGAUCGCAACAUUCAA